This 436-nucleotide long non-coding RNA is filed under the name Chinchilla lanigera (long-tailed chinchilla). Its description in RNAcentral is "lncRNA (ENSCLAG00000024657.1)". Lineage: Eukaryota; Metazoa; Chordata; Mammalia; Rodentia; Chinchillidae. The record is from RNAcentral.
CUAGGAUCUGCUACUCAUUUGGGGAUGAUACAGUUGCUUUGCAAUUGUCUUGCUGGAAAAAGGCUCUUGAUGAAGGCGCUGUGGCUAGAAGUGCUGUAAACUUCAGGGAAGUGAACACCUGCUGGCCCUUCCUCUCGUUUUGUGUUGGGUAUUGUCUGCCUCCUGACUUACCUGAGGGUUUCACGGAUCCAUGCACAUGGCUCUGGACCUGGAAUAGAUCUUCAGCUCAGGGAAAGCUUCAGUGGAGGAAGAAGUACAGACCGGAAUGGAAAACAGAGUACAGAUUGGCAUGAAAAUAGAGAAUCUUUAAGACCUAGACUGGGAGAGAUGAGGCACCUCUAUAUAACCCUCCUACCACAUCAAAUUCAUCUGUAAACCAACAAAAAGUAAGUGGAGAAAAAUGAUGCUCAUGUAUUAACUGUUUACUAAUUUCUGU